Molecule: ribosomal RNA, 230 nt
Filed under: uncultured bacterium
Lineage: Bacteria
Description: partial 16S ribosomal RNA
Rfam family: Bacterial small subunit ribosomal RNA
Source: RNAcentral
UAAGAGUACGUAGGCGGUGAUUCAAGUCAGAGGUGAAAGCCUGGAGCUCAACUCCAGAACUGCCUUUGAAACUAGAUCGCUAGAAUUGUGGAGAGGUUAGUGGAAUUCCGAGUGUAGAGGUGAAAUUCGUAGAUAUUCGGAAGAACACCAGUGGCGAAGGCGACUAACUGGACACAUAUUGACGCUGAGGUACGAAAGCGUGGGGAGCAAACAGGAUUAGAUACCCGUGU